GGGACUCGAGCCUAUAACUGUCAAGCACACACUCAACAGACAGACAACAAAUUGCUAAGGAGUCACAGACUCGAGCCUAGCAAAGGUCAGACAACAACACACAAAAGAAAAGGCGCCCGGAGAGAUCAGCUCAAUCUCCUGCCUACAUACUUCAUCUGGUGUGAAGAUCAGGGCGAUGUAGUUCCCCUACGCAGGGAUAAAGGACUAGCCUAACCAGA
This 218-nucleotide long non-coding RNA is filed under the name Lathyrus oleraceus (garden pea). RNAcentral describes it as "Pisum sativum (pea) long non-coding RNA (PSAT_LNC027855)". Lineage: Eukaryota; Viridiplantae; Streptophyta; Magnoliopsida; Fabales; Fabaceae. The record is from RNAcentral.